RNAcentral lists this ribosomal RNA (673 nucleotides) under uncultured Lachnospiraceae bacterium. Its description in RNAcentral is "bacterial SSU rRNA". It matches the Rfam family "Bacterial small subunit ribosomal RNA", at positions 28 to 714 of the family's 1533-position model. Lineage: Bacteria; Bacillati; Bacillota; Clostridia; Lachnospirales; Lachnospiraceae. The record is from RNAcentral.
GAUGAACGCUGGCGGCGUGCUUAACACAUGCAAGUCGAACGAGCGAGAGAGAGCUUGCUUUCUCGAGCGAGUGGCGAACGGGUGAGUAACGCGUGAGGAACCUGCCUCAAAGAGGGGGACAACAGUUGGAAACGACUGCUAAUACCGCAUAAGCCCACGGUGCCGCAUGGCACAGAGGGAAAAGGAGCAAUCCGCUUUGAGAUGGCCUCGCGUCCGAUUAGCUAGUUGGUGAGGUAAUGGCCCACCAAGGCGACGAUCGGUAGCCGGACUGAGAGGUUGAACGGCCACAUUGGGACUGAGACACGGCCCAGACUCCUACGGGAGGCAGCAGUGGGGAAUAUUGCACAAUGGGGGAAACCCUGAUGCAGCGACGCCGCGUGGAGGAAGAAGGUCUUCGGAUUGUAAACUCCUGUUGUUGGGGAAGAUAAUGACGGUACCCAACAAGGAAGUGACGGCUAACUACGUGCCAGCAGCCGCGGUAAAACGUAGGUCACAAGCGUUGUCCGGAAUUACUGGGUGUAAAGGGAGCGCAGGCGGGAAGACAAGUUGGAAGUGAAAUCUAUGGGCUCAACCCAUAAACUGCUUUCAAAACUGUUUUUCUUGAGUAGUGCAGAGGUAGGCGGAAUUCCCGGUGUAGCGGUGGAAUGCGUAGAUAUCGGGAGGAACACCAGUG